This 345-nucleotide unclassified non-coding RNA is filed under the name soil metagenome. RNAcentral describes it as "partial contains 5.8S ribosomal RNA, internal transcribed spacer 2, and large subunit ribosomal RNA". The stretch from base 2 to 120 matches the Rfam family "5.8S ribosomal RNA", at positions 36 to 154 of the family's 154-position model. The record is from RNAcentral.
CAUGAAGAACGCAGCGAAAUGCGAUAAGUAAUGUGAAUUGCAGAAUUCCGUGAAUCAUCGAAUUUUUGAACGCACAUUGCGCCCCCUGGUAUUCCGGGGGGCAUGCCUGUCCGAGCGUCAUUGCUGCCCUCAAGCACGGCUUGUGUGUUGGGCCUCCGUCCUCCUCCCGGGGGACGGGCCCGAAAGGCAGCGGCGGCACCGCGUCCGGUCCUCGAGCGUAUGGGGCUUCGUCACCCGCUCUUGUAGGCCCGGCCGGCGCUUGCCGACACAUCAAUCUUUUUUCCAGGUUGACCUCGGAUCAGGUAGGGAUACCCGCUGAACUUAAGCAUAUCAAUAAGCGGAGGA